UCGGGGGACGGGUGAGUAACACGUGGGUAACCUGCCCUUAAGUGGGGGAUAACAUUUGGAAACAGAUGCUAAUACCGCAUAAAUCCAAGAACCGCAUGGUUCUUGGCUGAAAGAUGGCGUAAGCUAUCGCUUUUGGAUGGACCCGCGGCGUAUUAGCUAGUUGGUGAGGUAACGGCUCACCAAGGCAAUGAUACGUAGCCGAACUGAGAGGUUGAUCGGCCACAUUGGGACUGAGACACGGCCCAAACUCCUACGGGAGGCAGCAGUAGGGAAUCUUCCACAAUGGACGCAAGUCUGAUGGAGCAACGCCGCGUGAGUGAAGAAGGCUUUCGGGUCGUAAAACUCUGUUGUUGGAGAAGAAUGGUCGGCAGAGUAACUGUUGUCGGCGUGACGGUAUCCAACCAGAAAGCCACGGCUAACUACGUGCCAGCAGCCGCGGUAAUACGUAGGUGGCAAGCGUUAUCCGGAUUUAUUGGGCGUAAAGCGAGCGCAGGCGGUUUUUUAAGUCUGAUGUGAAAGCCCUCGGCUUAACCGAGGAAGUGCAUCGGAAACUGGGAAACUUGAGUGCAGAAGAGGACAGUGGAACUCCAUGUGUAGCGGUGAAAUGCGUAGAUAUAUGGAAGAACACCACUGGCGAAGGCGGCUGUCUGGUCUGUAACUGACGCUGAGGCUCGUAAGCAUGGGUAGCGACAGGAUUAGAUACCCUGGUAGUCCAUGCCGUAAACGAUGAAUGCUAGGUGUUG
This 743-nucleotide ribosomal RNA is filed under the name Lacticaseibacillus rhamnosus. Its description in RNAcentral is "bacterial SSU rRNA". It matches the Rfam family "Bacterial small subunit ribosomal RNA", at positions 95 to 825 of the family's 1533-position model. Lineage: Bacteria; Bacillati; Bacillota; Bacilli; Lactobacillales; Lactobacillaceae. The record is from RNAcentral.